AGAAGCAGUCUUGGGAUCAAUCCAUAUGGAAGGGAAGGGAUGGAAAGGGAGCAGGACUGAAAAGAAGCUAUAAUGUAGUCCCUCAGUCAACCCCAAGGCAUGUUCUGAAGCCAGAGGACUUUUCAGAGUUUAACUAAGUAGCGCAAAGUGACCAAGCCUUAAUACACACAUGUCAACAAGUCUUGGAUGCAGACUACCCUGGGGAAAGGGCCGUGUUCUUGGACAAGGCAACUCGAUCCAAGGCAAAUUCCUAAAAGAAGCUGAUAGCUAAGGGCUGCCUUGCCCACAGCAUUCCCAGCAACUGGAGGAAAAAGGUCAUCAGACCUGAAAGGAGAUCUGAGUGAUACAUCACAGCAUCCUUAGACAUCAGCAUGGGUAUGGAGGAAGCUGAAAGAAUGGUCACACAAUGCAAUAUUGCUGACUUUGAAGCUGGAGGAAGGGGAGUGUGAGCUGAGGAAUGUGGACAGUCUCUAGACGCUGGAAAAAGCAGGGAAAAGGAUUAUCCACUAGAGCUUCCAGAAAGGAAUGCAGCCCUCUUGAUUUUAGCCCAGUGGGCCUUCUGACCUCCUGAACUGUAAGACAAUAAAUGUGUUGUUUUAAGCCA
Long non-coding RNA from Hyaena hyaena (striped hyena), 604 nucleotides. RefSeq lists it as uncharacterized. The transcript has 2 exons. The record is from RefSeq and is a predicted model, not a curated record. Lineage: Eukaryota; Metazoa; Chordata; Mammalia; Carnivora; Hyaenidae.